UUUCUCUCUUUCACCGCGUUGUGGAAACAUAUUCUGGUAAAAGAAGGGAAGUAAAGGAAUCAAUCUACGACAAUGACAGAUUGCAAGUCGAAAAGAUGAAAAUUGAUAACAAAAGAAGAAGUGGGCUUACAGCUAGGAUAAAGGUGAUAACUUACAGAUCAUAUAACAGUUGGUCUGUGGAGAGAAAAUUCAGUGGUGCUGUAAAAAUAUUUAAACUUGAGAAGAAGAGACACUAGUAUUAUCUUCUUAUGAUAUGAAAAAGUUAUUAAUGAAAUAUUUAAAUAGAAUAGCCUAUAACAUAGAUUUUUGAAGAGAGUUCAAUUUUUUGAUGGAUGAUAUUUUAAUCAAUAGAUAACGGUAAGGUAUUACUUUCUUGUAGAUGAUAUAAAAGUUUUUCCCUGUUGCAAUCAAAUAUGUGACAUAAUUAUUGUGAACGGUUUCAUUAUUCUAAUUAUCAUUAAAUAAGUUUGAAACUCA
Nilaparvata lugens (brown planthopper) is the source of this 477-nucleotide long non-coding RNA. RefSeq lists it as uncharacterized. The record is from RefSeq and is a predicted model, not a curated record. NCBI's taxonomy places the organism in Eukaryota, Metazoa, Arthropoda, Insecta, Hemiptera, Delphacidae. The transcript is spliced from 2 exons.